UACGUAGGGGGCAAGCGUUGUCCGGAAUCAUUGGGCGUAAAGCGCGUGUAGGCGGACUGGAAGGUCUGGUGUGAAAGCCCGGGGCUCAACCCCGGAGGGUCACUGGAAACCGACAGUCUUGAGUCCGGAAGAGGAGAGUGGAAUUCCUGGUGUAGCGGUGGAAUGCGCAGAUAUCAGGAGGAACACCAAUGGCGAAGGCAGCUCACUGGGACGAUACUGACGCUGGAGACGCGAAAGCGUGGGGAGCAAACAGG
Molecule: ribosomal RNA, 254 nt
Filed under: uncultured bacterium
Lineage: Bacteria
Description: partial 16S ribosomal RNA
Rfam family: Bacterial small subunit ribosomal RNA
Source: RNAcentral